This 374-nucleotide ribosomal RNA is filed under the name uncultured organism. RNAcentral describes it as "partial 16S ribosomal RNA". It matches the Rfam family "Bacterial small subunit ribosomal RNA", at positions 527 to 896 of the family's 1533-position model. The record is from RNAcentral.
GUAGGUGGCAAGCGUUGUCCGGAAUUAUUGGGCGUAAAGCGCGCGCAGGUGGUUCUUUAAGUCUGAUGUGAAAGCCCCCGGCUCAACCGGGGAGGAUCAUUGGAAACUGGGGAACUUGAGUGCAGGAGAGGAAAGUGGAAUUCCACGUGUAGCGGUGAAAUGCGUAGAUAUGUGGAGGAACACCAGUGGCGAAGGCGACUUUCUGGCCUGUAACUGACACUGAGGCGCGAAAGCGUGGGGAGCAAACAGGGAUUAGAUACCCUGGUAGUCCACGCCGUAAACGAUGAGUGCUAAGUGUUGGGGGGGUUUCCCGCCCCUCAGUGCUGCAGCUAACGCAUUAAGCACUCCGCCUGGGGAGUACGGUCGCAAGACUG